RNAcentral lists this unclassified non-coding RNA (378 nucleotides) under plant metagenome. RNAcentral's name for it is "partial contains 5.8S ribosomal RNA, internal transcribed spacer 2, and large subunit ribosomal RNA". The stretch from base 1 to 105 matches the Rfam family "5.8S ribosomal RNA", at positions 50 to 154 of the family's 154-position model. The record is from RNAcentral.
GAAAUGCGAUAAGUAAUGUGAAUUGCAGAAUUCAGUGAAUCAUCGAAUCUUUGAACGCACCUUGCGCUCCUUGGUAUUCCUUGGAGCAUGCCUGUUUGAGUAUGAUGAAAUCUUCAAAGUAAAUCUUUUGUUAACUCAAUUGGUUUCUACUUUGGUAUUGGAGGUCUUUGCAGCUUCACACCUGCUCCUCUUUGUUCAUUAGCUGGAUCUCAGUGUUAUGCUUGGUUCCACUCGGCGUGAUAAGUUAUCUAUCGCUGAGGACACUGUAAAAGGUGGCCAAGGUAAAUGCAGAUGAACCGCUUCUAAUAGUCCAUUGACUUGGACAAUACUUUUAUGAUCUGAUCUCAAAUCAGGUAGGACUACCCGCUGAACUUAAGC